UUUGAUGACGAUCGAAGAUAAUAAGGGUUUCGCGUGUGCUAGUACGUAUAAAGAUUUUGCAUCACUUGGUCGGUCAGAUGACCAUAAUUCAGUAUUAUUAAUGUCACGCAUGACUGAUUCACACAUCGUUUAGGCUUUAAAUUUUACAUAUAUGUAUUUCAAGUACAGUCAGUCAUGCCAUGAUUUUGACUUGGACUUGAAAGAAAAAUAAUUGUGUUUAUGAAUAUUUCAUUGUUUUGCAAUAUGGAUAGUCUUUUUUAUUAUUUGUUGGCUACUUUAAAUUUUGUGAACAUUUAUCGAAGUAUCAAAUAAGAUUAAUCGACAGACGGGCAAGGAUGGGAAGUUAUCAGUGUGGGUCGUAACCUUGCGUUUUUUAUAUGAGUUAUAUUCAACUGUCCGAGGGGUAAUUUGUAAUUCAGCGAAGGAGUAUUCAUCAAAACCACGGAUAUACAAUUUCAAUAAAAAUACUUGAUAAGAUAAAUUAUGAAACCACUGGUGGUCCUAUUACUGCAAAUAGCCCUAUUGCCGAACAUUAAAAAGCUAUGGAUCUUCGAGAUAUUUCAUGCGGUUGAGGAGAAUUUGACUAUUUUGGACUCAGGUCAGACAAAUUUUAAAGCUAGCGGAUCUUCAGUUGAUUUUAAAAACUGAAUUCCUCUUACAAAAGAAAACUUUUAUAAUUGAGAAAAAAAUGACGCUGAGAAGAAAUCCCAUAAGUUUGUUAGAUUAGCUUUUCCCACUUUUUUAAAAAUAUCUCUGAUGAUGCAUCAAUAUUCUUUUUUUAAAUGAUAUUUCUUAAGAGCAAUUUCUCCACAUGAUUAAAAAUGUUAAGAAUAUAGUAAAAAAAAAAACGCUAAUAUGGAAAACACUAUAUUACUGACAAUCAACCUGUUUUACACUUUGAACUUCUAAGUAAAUUGCAUUUUCAUAGAAAUCCAUUAUACCUCUUUUUUAUUUGGAAAAAAAACGAAUCAAA
Long non-coding RNA from Eupeodes corollae, 973 nucleotides. RefSeq lists it as uncharacterized. The transcript is spliced from 3 exons. The record is from RefSeq and is a predicted model, not a curated record. Lineage: Eukaryota; Metazoa; Arthropoda; Insecta; Diptera; Syrphidae.